This 428-nucleotide ribosomal RNA is filed under the name Bacteroidota bacterium. Its description in RNAcentral is "Bacteroidetes bacterium partial 16S ribosomal RNA". It matches the Rfam family "Bacterial small subunit ribosomal RNA", at positions 355 to 776 of the family's 1533-position model. Lineage: Bacteria; Pseudomonadati; Bacteroidota. The record is from RNAcentral.
UAGGGAAUCUUCCGCAAUGGACGCAAGUCUGACGGAGCAACGCCGCGUGAGUGAAGAAGGAUUUCGGUUCGUAAAACUCUGUUGUUAGAGAAGAACAGCGCAUAGAGUAACUGUUAUGCGUGUGACGGUAUCUAACCAGAAAGCCACGGCUAACUACGUGCCAGCAGCCGCGGUAAUACGUAGGUGGCAAGCGUUGUCCGGAUUUAUUGGGCGUAAAGCGAGCGCAGGCGGUUAGAAAAGUCUGAAGUGAAAGGCAGUGGCUCAACCAUUGUAGGCUUUGGAAACUGUUUAACUUGAGUGCAGAAGAGGAGAGUGGAAUUCCAUGUGUAGCGGUGAAAUGCGUAGAUAUAUGGAGGAACACCAGUGGCGAAGGCGACUCUCUGGUCUGUAACUGACGCUGAGGCUCGAAAGCGUGGGUAGCAAACAGG